CUGAGGUACGCUCGGUGUCGCGUCAGCGCGCCGGUUACCCGCCCAUAUGUCAUAUGUGCUGGGGCCCGCCUUAGGGGGGGACCCAGGAAUAUAACUUCGGUCGAGGUGUUGCGUCGGGCACCUGCUUCGGCAGGGCCAGGCGCGACCGCGGCCGGCCUCAUUUUACACUCUUGUGAGAAGAUGAAGUCUGAAGCAAAUGCGAAUUAAAGCA
RNAcentral lists this unclassified non-coding RNA (211 nucleotides) under uncultured Dothideomycetes. RNAcentral's name for it is "sequence contains ITS1". Lineage: Eukaryota; Fungi; Ascomycota; Dothideomycetes. The record is from RNAcentral.